AGAGAGAGACAUGCGCGCAUAUCAAUAGCGGAGGAAAAGAAACUAACAAGGAUUCCCCUAGUAACGGCGAGUGAAGCGGGAAGAGCUCAAAUUUGAAAUCUUAAAGGGUUUCCCUUUACGAAUUGUAGUUUAAAGAAGUGUUUUCUGUUGAGGUUUUGGUAAAAGUUCUUUGGAAUAGGACAUCAUAGAGGGUGAGAAUCCCGUAUUUGACCUUUACUUUCAACUUUGUGAUACACUUUCAAGAGUCGGAUUGUUUGGGAAUGCAGUCCAAAAUGGGUGGUAAAUUUCAUCUAAAGCUAAAUAUUGGCGAGAGACCGAUAGCGAACAAGUACCGUGAGGGAAAGAUGAAAAGAACUUUGAAAAGAGAGUUAAACAGUACGUGAAAUUGUCAAAAGGGAAGCGUUUGACACCAGUGUUGUUUUUCUGAAAAUCAAUUAAAGAACUGUUUAUGCUAAGUUGUUUAGACUUUAUCAGCUAACUGUUUAGUUUUGAGCUUUUCUUUAAUGCACCUUUUCAGUUAACAAGUCAACAUCAAUUUCUUUUGCUGUAAAAAAGCUUGAGGAAGGUGGCUUGAGAUUCGUCUUAAGUGUUUAUAGCCUCUUGCCUAUGCAGUCGGAGAGAUUGAGGUCUGCAGCGUAGAUCCUUCGGGGCUAAAUGCAUUUGUGCUAAGUUAUAGCAUUUUAUAGACAACUUGUUGACUAUGAUUUGUCUUGUAGCUUACUCGCUUAUGUUAUUUUACCUACGCUUAGGAUGUUGAGCGCAUGUCUCUCUCU
RNAcentral lists this ribosomal RNA (773 nucleotides) under uncultured Neocallimastigales. RNAcentral describes it as "partial large subunit ribosomal RNA". It matches the Rfam family "Eukaryotic large subunit ribosomal RNA", at positions 23 to 616 of the family's 3401-position model. The record is from RNAcentral. Lineage: Eukaryota; Fungi; Neocallimastigomycota; Neocallimastigomycetes; Neocallimastigales.